Pan troglodytes (chimpanzee) is the source of this 1377-nucleotide long non-coding RNA. RefSeq lists it as uncharacterized. The record is from RefSeq and is a predicted model, not a curated record. The transcript has 3 exons. Lineage: Eukaryota; Metazoa; Chordata; Mammalia; Primates; Hominidae.
UCUGCUAUGACAGGGCAGCACUGAGUUCAAUGCCUCACUUCAAUUGCUGUGCUUUCCCUCUCCCAAGUAGUCAGAUUCUCUCUCCACACCCCUCAGCCACUGCUAGGGGAUGGGGAGGUGGUGUCAGUGAGUCAAGACUGUUUUUCCUACCUCUUCAGUGCCUCUUUCAGUGAUAUGAAGUUAAAACCAGUUUCGUCAGUUUUUACUUCAUAUAUUUUGCUUCAGGAAUUUCUAUGAACGUAUCUUCAAGCUCAUUGGUUCUUUACCCAAUCAUGUCCAGUCUACUGAUGAGUGAAUCAAAGGGAUUCUUCAUUCCUGUUGCAGUAUUUCUGAUAUCCAGCAUUUCCUUUUUAUUUUCCUAGGGUUUUCAUGUCUCUGCUUACAUUACCAUGUGUUGUCCUUAUAUGUGGUGCACUCUAUCCAUUAGUGCCCACAGCAUAUUAAUCAUGGGUUUUUAAAUUCUUGGUUUGACCCAUUAAAAAAUUGGCAAAGGACAUGAACAGAUACUUCUGAAAAGAAGACAUACAUGUGGACAACAAGCAUAUGAAAAAAAUGCUUAACAUCACUGAUGAUUAGAGAAAUGGAAAUCAAAACCACAAUGAGAUACCAUCUCACACCAGUCAGAAUGGCUAUUAUUAAGUAGUUAAAAACAACAACAACAACAGAUGCUGGCAAGGUUGUGGAGAAAAGGGAACGCUUAUACACUGUUGGUGGGAGUGUAAAUUAGUACAACCAUUGUGGAAGACAGUGUGGCAAUUCCUCAAAGAUCUAAAAACAGAAAUACCGUUUGACCCAGCAAACUCAUUACUGGGUAUAUACCCAAAGGAAUGUAAGUCGUUCUACCAUAAAGACUCAUGCACAUGUAUGUUCAUUGCAGCACAAUUCACAAUAGCAAAGACAUGGAAUCAACCUAAAUGCUCAUCAAUAGUGGACUGGAUAAAGAAAACGUGGUACAUAUACACCAUGAAAUACUAUGCAGCCAUAAAAAAGAAUGAAAUCCUGUCCUUUGCAGGAACAGGGAUGGGAACUGGAGGCAAUCAUCCUAAGUGAAUUAAUGCAAGAGCAGAAAACCAAUGCUACAUAUUCUCACUUAUCAGUGGGAGCUAAACAUUGAACACACAUGUACAUAAAGAAGGGGACAAGAGACACUGGGGCCUACUUGAGGGUGGAAGUUUGGAGAAGAGUGAGGAUUGAAAAAUGAUGUAUUACAUACUGUGCUUAUUACCUGGGUGACAAAAUAAUCUGUACACCAAAAACCUGCAAUACUAAAUUUACCCAUGUAACAAACCUGCUCAUGUAUCCACUGAACCUAAAAUAAAAGUUGGAAAAAAAAUUUCAAUCAAAAAUAAAAUUGUUUGAUAAUUUCGACAUAUCUGA